AUACGGGGGGUGCAAGCGUUAAUCGGAAUUACUGGGCGUAAAGCGCGCGUAGGCGGUUUGUUCAGUCGGAUGUGAAAGCCCAGGGCUCAACCUUGGAACUGCAUUCGAUACUGGCAAACUAGAAUGUGAUAGAUGAUAGUGGAAUUUCCGGUGUAGCGGUGAAAUGCGUAGAGAUCGGAAGGAACAUCAGUGGCGAAGGCGGCUAUCUGGAUCAACAUUGACGCUGAGGUGCGAAAGCGUGGGUAGCAAACAGGAUUAGAAACCCCAGUAGUCC
This 274-nucleotide ribosomal RNA is filed under the name uncultured bacterium. RNAcentral describes it as "partial 16S ribosomal RNA". It matches the Rfam family "Bacterial small subunit ribosomal RNA", at positions 523 to 796 of the family's 1533-position model. The record is from RNAcentral.